GCGUCCUUUUGAGAGUGGGACCAUAGCUGCUCUUCGCUCUCUUUCAUUCUCUCAUUCCAAAAAUUUCCGUUGAGCAAGUAGCAUCAGUGCGUGUUCAAGGGGAAUUCGGAGUUCACAAGCGACGAUAUAUAGACGCCGCGCAGUUUUAGUGCAAGAUUACAUUCACAGUUUUACUCCGAGCAGAGGAUAUUUUUCAUUUUGCUGUUUUGAAGAUUUCGAGUCAACAAGCAACGCUAUUAUUCGUUUGGAGCGUUCUGUUGCCGAGGAGCGUGGCUUGUCAUGGAAUUUAUUGACGCUUAGCUGCCUCAGUACAAGGUUUCGGUUGUAUUUCAGCAGAAAUUUUUUACUUCUUUAUUAUCCAUUUUCAUCAUGGCUGGGGAUGAAAAUGCUUUGUGCCUGUUGUGUGACAAAGUUUUGAACGAUGGACGUGCAACACGGAC
Long non-coding RNA from Neodiprion fabricii, 440 nucleotides. RefSeq lists it as uncharacterized. The record is from RefSeq and is a predicted model, not a curated record. The transcript has 3 exons. Lineage: Eukaryota; Metazoa; Arthropoda; Insecta; Hymenoptera; Diprionidae.